RNAcentral lists this long non-coding RNA (8842 nucleotides) under Ananas comosus (pineapple). RNAcentral's name for it is "long non-coding RNA (ACOM_LNC031545)". The record is from RNAcentral. Lineage: Eukaryota; Viridiplantae; Streptophyta; Magnoliopsida; Poales; Bromeliaceae.
AACGUUCACAAGAACCAAAACCAGAACAACAUUAGACUUCUCUAUUACGCCCUAACAGCUUAACUUUGCAAACAGUACUUUUUCUCAUUCAAUCGAACAAAGAGUAAAACCAAAUUAUAUUAUUCUAUUAUGCCCCUAGAAUGUAAAUUUGCAACGUAUCGAUGUCAACGUUCACAGAAACCAAAACGGGAAGAACAUUAGACUACACAAUUGCGCCCUAACAGCAUAAUUUUGCAAUGAGUACUUUUUCUCCUUCAACCGAACAAAGAAUAAAAGCUAAUUAUAUUGUUCUAUUAUGCCCCGAGAGUGUAAAUUUACAAUGUAUCGAUGCAAACGUUCACAAAAACCAAAACCGGAACAACAUUAGACUACUCAGUUGCACCCUAACAAUAGAACUUUGCAAACAGAGCUUUUUCUCAUUCAAUCGAACAAAGAGUAAAAUCCAAUUAUAUUAUUCUAUUAUACCCCGGGAGUGUAAAUUUGCAACUUAUCGAUGUCAACGUUCAGAAGAACCAAAACCGGACCUACAUUAUAAUACUCAGUUGCUCCCUAACAGUAUAACUUUGCAACGAGUACUUUUUCUCAUUCAACAGAAUAAAGAGUAAAACCUAAUUAUAUUGUUCUAUUAUGCCCCGAGAGUGUGAAUUUGCAACGUAUCGAUGUCAACGUUCACAAGAACCAAAUCUAGAUCAACAGUAGACUACUGAGUAGCGCCGUAACAGUAUAACUUUGCAACGAGUACUUUUUCUCAUUCAACCGAACAAAGAGUAAAACCGAAUUAUAUUGUUCUAUUAUGCCCCGAGAGCAUAUAUUUGCAACGUAUCGAUGUCAACGUUCACACGAACCAAAAUCGGACCAAUAUUAGACUACUCAGUUGCGCCCUAACAGUAUAACUUUGCAACGAGUACUUUUUCUCAUUCAACCGAACAAAGAGUAAAACCUAAUUAUAUUGUUCUAUUAUGCCCGAGAGUGUAAAUUUGCAACGUGUAAAUUUGUAACUUUGCAAACAUUGCUUUUUCUCAUUCAAUCGAACAAGGAGUAAAAUCCAAUUAUAUUGUUCUAUUAUACCCCGAGAGUGUAAAUUUGCAACUUAUCGAUGUCAACGUUCAUACGAACCAAAACCGGACCAAGAUUAGAUCACUCAGUUGCGCCCUUACUAACUUUGCAACGAGUAUUUUUUCUCAUUCAACCGAACAAAGAGUAAAUCUAAUUAUAUUGUUCUAUUAUGCCCCGCGAGUAUAAAUUUGCAGCGUAUCGAUGUCAACAUUCACAUAAAGCAAAAUCGGAACAACAUUAAACUACUCAGUUGCGCCCUAACAGUAUUACUUUGCAAACAAUAUUUUUUCUCAUUCAAUCGAACAAAGAGUAAAACCUAAUUAUAUUGUUCUACGUUGUCCGAGAGUGUAAAUUUGCAACGUAUCGACGUCAACGUUCACAAGAACCAAAACCGGAACAACAUUAGACUACACAGUUGUGUCCUAGCAGUUUAACUUUACAAACAGUGCUUUUUCUCAUUCAAUCGAACAAAGAGUAAAAUCCAAUUAUAUUGUUCUAUUAUACGCCGAGAGUGUAAAUUUGUAACUUAUCGAUGUCAACGUUCAUACGAACCAAAACCGGACCAACAUUAGAUCACUCAGUUGCGCCCUUACUAACUUUGCAACGAGUAUUUUUUCUCAUUCAACCGAACAAAGAGUAAAUCUAAUUAUAUUGUUCUAUUAUGCCCCGCGAGUAUAAAUUUGCAGCGUAUCGAUGUCAACGUUCACAUGAACCAAAAUCGGAACAACAUUAGACUACUCAGUUGCGCCCUUACAAUAUAACUUUGCAACGAGUAAUUUUUCUCAAUCAACCGAACAAAGAGUAAAACCUAAUUAUAUUGUUCUAUUAUGCCCCGAGAGUAUAAAUUUGCAGCAUAUCGAUGUCAACGUUCACACGAACCAAAACCGGAUCAACAUUAGACUACUAAGUUGCACCCUAACAGUAUAACUUUGCAACGAGUACUUUUUCUCAUUCAAUAGAACAAAGAGUAAAACUUAAUUAUAUUGUUCUAUUAUGCCCCGAGAGUAUAAAUUUGCAACGUAUCGAUGUCAACGUUCAAAAGAACUAAAACCGGAACAACAUUAGACUACUCAGUUACGCCCUAACAGUAUAACUUUACAAACAGUAAUUUUUUUCAUUCAAUGGAACAAAAAGUAAAACCUAAUUAUAUUGUUCUAUUAUGCUCCAAGAGUAUAAAUUUCCAACGUAUCGAUGUCAACGUUCACAAGAACCAAAACCGGAACAACAUUAGACUACUCAGUUGUGCCAAAACAAUAUAACUUUACAAACAGUGCUUUUUCUCAUCCAAUCGAACAAAGAGUAAAACCUAAUUAUAUUGUUCUAUUAUGCUCCGAGAGUGUAAAUUUGCAACGUAUCGAUGUCAACGUUCAUAAGAACCAAAACCGAAAAAACAUUAGACUACUCAGUUGUUCCAAAAUAUUAUAACUUUGCAAUGAUUACUUUUUCUCAUUCAACCGAACAAAGAGUAAACCUAAUUAUACUGUUCUAUUAUGCCCCGAGAGUAUAAAUUUGCAACGUGUCGAUGUCAACGUUCACAAAAAUCAAAACCGUACCAAUAUUAGACUACUACGUUGAGCCCUAACAGUAUCACUUUGCAACGAGUACUUUUUCUCAUUCAACCGAAAUAAAGAGUAAAUCCGAAUUAUAUUGUCCUAUUAUGCCCCGAGAGUGUAAAUUUGCAACGUAUCGAUGUCAACGUUCACAAGAACGUACUUUUCUCAUUUAAUCGAACAAUAGUAAACCUAAUUAUAUUGUUCUAUUAUGCACCGAGAGUUAAAUUUGCAACGUAUCGAUGUCAACGUUCACAAGAACCAAAACCGAAAAAAUAUUAGACUAAGUAUACGCCCUAACGUAUAAAUUUGCAAUGAGUAGUUUUCUCAAUUCAAUCGGACAAAAAAUAAAACCUAAUUAUAGUUUGUUGCAUUAUGCCCUGAGAGUGUAAUUGCAACGUUUCGGAUGUCAACGUUCACAAAAACCAAAACCGGACAAACAUUAGACUACUUAGUUCGCCCUAACAGUAUAACUUUACAACGAGUACUUUUUUUUCUUCAACCGAACAAAGAGUAAAACUAAUUAUAUUAUUUUUAUUAUGCCCCGAAGUGUAAUUUGUAACGUAUCUAUGAAACGUUCAACAAAGAACAAACCGAACAACAUUAGACUUCUCAGUUGCGCCCUAACAAUAUAACUUGGCAACUGUGUUUUUCUCAUCCAUCGAAUAAAGAGUAACCCAAUUAUAUUAUUCUAUUAUACGCCGAGAGUGUAAAUUGGCAACUUAUCGAUGUCAACGUUCACAAGAACCAAAACCGGACAAACAUUAGACUACUCAGUUGCGCACCUAACAGCAUAACUUUGCCAAUAAAUAGUUUUUCUCCUUCAUCGAACAAAGAGUAAAACCUAAUUAUACUGUUCUAUUUUGUCCCAAGAGUGUAAUUUACAACGUAUCGAUGUCAAGAUUCACAAAAACCAAAACCGAACCAACAUUAGACUACUCAGUUGCCGCCCUAACAGUUAAACUUUACAACGAGUAUUUUUCUCCUUUAACGAACAAGAGUAAACAAUUAUAUUUGUUCUAUUAUGUCCCGAAGUGUGUAAUUUGCAACGUAUCGAUGUAAACGUUCACAGACCAAAUGGAACAACACAAUGAAUACUCGUUGCGCCCUAACAGUAUAACUUUGGAAACUGUACUUAUUCUCAUUCGAAUCGAACAAAGAGUAAACCCAAUAUAUUGUUCUACUAUCCCGAGAGUGUAAAUUUGCAAUUAUCGAUGUCAACGUUCACAAGAAACAAAACUGGACAAACAUUUAGACUACUUAGUUGCGCCCUAACAGUAUAACUUUUGCAACGAGUAUUUUUCUCAUUCAACCGAACAAAGAGUAAAACAAUAUUUGUUCUAUUAUGACCGAGUGUGUAAAUUUCUAUCUGAUCGAUGCAAUGUUCACAAGCAACCACCGGAACUAGACUACUCGUUACGUACCAACAGUAUACUUUACAAACAGUACUUUUUCUCAUUCAAUCGAACAAAGAGUAACAACCAUAUACUCCUACUUUAUGCCCCGAAAAUGUAAAUUUGCAACGUAUCGAUGUCAACGUUCACAGAAAACCAAAGCCGAACAACAUUAGACUACUCAGUUGCACCCUAACAGUAUAAUAACUUUGCAAACAGUACAUUUUCUCAUUCCAUCGAACAAGAUAAAACCAAUUAUAUUAUUCUAUAAUGCCCGAGAAUUUAAAUUUGCAACGUAUCGAUGUCAACGUUCACAAAACCAAAACUAGACCAACAUUACCGGACCAACAUUAGAACUAGUUGCGCCCUAAACAGUAUAAACUUUUGUAAACGAUACUUUUUUUGAUUUCAACCCAACAAAGAGUAACAACCUUAAUUAUACGUUGACUCUAUUUCAUGCCUGAGAUGUAUAAAUUUGCGAGUAUCGGAUGUCAACGUUCACAAAAAUCCAAACGUGGAACAACAUUAGCACUACUCGAUGCGCCUAAACAGUAUAGUAAAACCAUUUUUAGAGCAUAAGGAUCAAUCCUUAGAGUUCUACCAUUAAAGGGUUUUGAAGCUUACCUCUCAAGCAAGCUCCAAUGGAGAGGAAGAAGAUGGAGAAGAUGGAAAUCCACCUUAGAGCUUCGAUCUCCACCAAAAUCAUCUAUUUUUGGGAGAGAUUUAGAGAGAGAAAGGGAUUUCUCUCCUUUCCCUUCCAUGCGUGUAUUGUGUGCGUGUGUGUGUGUGGUUGUGGUGUGCACGGUUGAGGGAGGAGAAGAAGAGCAAUGCUCUUUUCCACAAGCAGCCCCCUCAACUAUUCCACUUUUCAGUUUAGUCCCUCAAAUCUGAUAAGUUUCGUUGGAGCCCUUCCGGAUGUCCGAUUGAGCUCAAAUUUGACAGGCAUGCUCAGUUUAACGUACUGAGUAAGAAUAUGUCUUAAGUUUUCAGUUUCGACUCCGUUUGGUCACUGAAAACUGUACCGAACUGCAAUCUUUAUCAGAUAGCUUUCGGAUUUUAUUUCUCACUCUACGGGUAUCAAAAAAAUAUGAAACCUUAAAUCUAGCUUCACAAAAAUAUUUCUGACAUCUCUGCCAAUUUUCAUAAUUUUCUGAGACUGUGCGUUUUCUGCUAAUUUAUCUGCCCCGUUUCCAACAGAAAAUUCUAAAUCUUCUGUUUUAAUUCCGAUUUCAGCACAGGUCAUUCCCAACUUAUAUUUCACUUCUCUAAAUUCAAUAAAAAUAGUAUCUCAUACUAUUUUUAUUUAUUUCUAUUUUUUUAUAUUUAAAUCCGGUAUAUUACAUUACACCGCAACCUUACCGGAACCAUUCAAAUGGCUCUCCAACCAAAUGGACACCGUAGCUUCAUAAUUUUAGAAGUCCGGUACCUUACACUCACACUAUUUUUAUUUAUUUUCACUUUUACAUUUAAAAUUCGGUAUGUUACAUUCCACCGCAACCUUACCGGAACCUUUUAAAUGUACACCGUAACUUCAUAGUUUUAGAAGUCUGGUACCUUACACUAGGCCCUUACCGCGACCCUCGCCGGGGGUACUCGAACUCGAACCUGCAACAAUGUAGGGUGAGAACUACGAAUAGUUCCCUGUGGUUUCGACCGCUGACUCCUCCGAUCUCCCCACUAGGUCUAAGCAGGCAUAAGCAGAUAGAUAGAUAGAUAUUUAACCGAAAUGAAAGCAUAGUAAAGAACUACAGUAUACUACUAUGCCUGACAAGUAUGCAAUGAACAAUCGAAGCAAGUAUCACUAACAUGUCACUAGGAUCAUGCUACAAGCAAGUAUGUAACCUACUAGGCUCAAUAUGUUCAAUGUCCAGCAUGUCUGUUACCCAAUCCUUGGCCAACCAAGAGUUAACCCUCGACUCACAUCUCAAUCCCACCUUGGUGAGGACCCUGCUGUCAACCCACCCGGUACAGUCUGCGGACAACUACGUCUGUCCUGAACAUGACCACCUCCGUAGCGCACUAACGGGAGGAGCGACCACCCCAAGCACAAGACUAUGUGAGUAUGAUCCAUCCUCGCCAUCGAGGAAGCCCUAUCCUCUAGGGUUAUCAAUCUCUCGGGAAUACACUGGUUUGUACCUAUGUCCAAAGCCUCAAUGCUAGCAACUGUGUCAAUGACGCACAAGUUCUCAUGCAAGAUGUCCACUGGAAAACUCAUCUAGUCCCUACAUCAUCAUAUCAUAGUGUUCUUUACACUAAGCUCUAACGCCACUCGUCAAGUGUUUUCUAUGUUCCAUGCCACUCGUCAUAAUACAAGGUCCCAACAUUACACAUGUCAUUAACUUUCAUAAUCAUAAGAUCAAGUUACUACUUAUCUUUAUCACUAUAGGGUUCUAUGUCAUUAUACUCAUUCUCAUGCCUUCUAGGUUCCAGUGCCAAUCAGAUUGCUGCACUACCAAGAAGCAUGCUAGAAUAAAACAUUACCAACUACACCCUAUAAUGCAUAAUACUACAUGUGCAAUAUGAUCAACAAAAUACAACUUAGACAUAGGGAGCAGCUCAACUGCUUCAGGAUGGACACCACCCACCUUUUGGUAGUGCCGCGAGGUUAGGAAACUCGACUUCGCGAUCCUUGGUCGCCGUCUUGACUCUUCGGGUCAAUACGAACCCACGAGCACUCGUUUCGGCGAUAACUCCGUACUUGCUUGACGAAUCGACGAACCGUCUUCGCCGACGCGUUUAGAGACCUAGCAAUGAGUAAAACCUAAUUAUAUUGUUAUAUUAGGCUCCGAGAGUAUAAAUUUUCAACGUAUCGAUGUCAACGUUCACAAGAACCAAAACCGGAACAACAUUAGACUACUCAGUUGCACCCUAACAGUAUAACUUUGCAAACAGUACUUUUUCUCAUUCAAUCGAACAAAGAGUAAAACCUAAUUAUAUUGUUCUCUUAUGCCCGAGAGUGUAAAUUUGCAACGUAUCGACAUCAACUUUCACAAGAACCAAAACCGGAACAACAUUAGACUGCAAAGUUGCGUCCGAACAGUAUAACUUUGCACACAGUACUUUUUCUCAUUUAAUCGAACAAAUAGUAAAACCUAAUUAUAUUGUUCUAUUAUGCACCGAGAGUUUAAAUUUGCAACGUAUCGAUGUCAACGUUCACAAGAACCAAAACCGAAAAAAUAUUAGACUAAGUUACCCCCUAACAGUAUAAAUUUGCAAUGAGUACGUUUUCUCAUUCAAUCGAACAAAAAGUAAAACCUAAUUAUAUUGUUCUAUUAUGCCCUGAGAGUGUAAAUUUGCAACAUUUCGAUGUCAACGUUCACAAAAACCAAAACCGGACAAACAUUAGACUACUUAGUUGCGCCCUAACAGUAUAACUUUACAACGAGUACUUUUUUUUCUUCAACCGAACAAAGAGUAAAACCUAAUUAUAUUAUUUUAUUAUGCCCCGAGAGUGUAAUUUGUAACGUAUCUAUGAAACGUUCACAAGAACCAAAAUCGGAACAACAUUAGACUUCUCAGUUGCGCCCUAACAAUAUAACUUUGCAAACUGUAUUUUUUCUCAUCCAAUCGAAUAAAGAGUAAACCCAAUUAUAUUAUUCUAUUAUACGCCGAGAGUGUAAAUUGGCAACUUAUCGAUGUCAACGUUCACAAGAACCAAAAUCGGACAAACAUUAGACUACUCAGUUGCGCCCUAACAGCAUAACUUUGCAAUGAAUAGUUUUUCUCCUUCAAUCGAACAAAGAGUAAAACCUAAUUAUACUGUUCUAUUUUGUCCCAAGAGUGUAAAUUUACAACGUAUCGAUGUCAAGAUUCACAAAAACCAAAACCGAACCAACAUUAGACUACUCAGUUGCGCCCUAACAGUAUAACUUUACAACGAGUAUUUUUCUCCUUUAACCGAACAAAGAGUAAACCUAAUUAUGUUGUUCUAUUAUGUCCCGAGUGUGUAAAUUUGCAACGUAUCGAUGUAAACGUUCACAAGAACCAAAAUCGGAACAACAAUAAAAUACUCAGUUGCGCCCUAACAGUAUAACUUUGCAAACUGUACUUAUUCUCAUUCAAUCGAACAAAGAGUAAAACCCAAUUAUAUUGUUCUAUUAUUCCCCGAGAGUGUAAAUUUGCAACUUAUCGAUGUCAACGUUCACAAGAAACAAAACUGGACAAACAUUAGACUACUUAGUUGCGCCCUAACAGUAUAACUUUGCAACGAGUACUUUUUCUCAUUCAACCGAACAAAGAGUAAACAAUAUAUUGUUCUAUUAUGACCCGAGUGUGUAAAUUUCUAUCUGAUCGAUGCCAAUGUUCACAAGAACCAAAACCGGACCAACAUUAGACUACUCAGUUACGCCCUAACAGUAUAACUUUACAAACAGUACUUUUUCUCAUUCAAUCGAACAAAGAGUAAAACCAAAUUAUAUUAUUCUAUUAUGCCCCGAAAAUGUAAAUUUGCAACGUAUCGAUGUCAACGUUCACAAGAACCAAAGCCCGAACAACAUUAGACUACUCAGUUGCACCCUAACAGUAUAACUUUGCAAACAGUACAUUUUCUCAUUCCAUCGAACAAAGAGUAAAACCAAAUUAUAUUAUUCUAUAAUGCCCCGAGAAUUUAAAUUUGCAACGUAUCGAUGUCAACGUUCACAAAAACCAAAACUAGACCAACAUUAGCCGGACCAACAUUAGACUACUCAGUUGCGCCCUAACAGUAUAACUUUGUAACGAGUACUUUUUCUGAUUCAACCCAACAAAGAGUAAAACCUAAUUAUAUUACUCUAUUAUGCCCUGAGAGUAUAAAUUUGCGACGUAUCGAUGUCAACGUUCACAAAAAUCAAAACUGGAACAACA